This 480-nucleotide ribosomal RNA is filed under the name uncultured bacterium. Its description in RNAcentral is "partial 16S ribosomal RNA". It matches the Rfam family "Bacterial small subunit ribosomal RNA", at positions 28 to 523 of the family's 1533-position model. The record is from RNAcentral.
GACGAACGCUGGCGGCGUGCCUAACACAUGCAAGUCGAGCGAGUGAAGUUCCUUCGGGAACGGAUUUAGCGGCGGACGGGUGAGUAACACGUGGGCAACCUACCUCAUAGAGGGGAAUAGCCUUCCGAAAGGGAGAUUAAUACCGCAUAAGAUUGUAGUACCGCAUGGUACAGCAAUUAAAGGAGCAAUCCGCUAUGAGAUGGGCCCGCGGCGCAUUAGCUAGUUGGUGAGGUAACGGCUCACCAAGGCGACGAUGCGUAGCCGACCUGAGAGGGUGAUCGGCCACAUUGGGACUGAGACACGGCCCAGACUCCUACGGGAGGCAGCAGUGGGGAAUAUUGCACAAUGGGGGAAACCCUGAUGCAGCAACGCCGCGUGAGUGAUGACGGCCUUCGGGUUGUAAAGCUCUGUCUUCAGGGACGAUAAUGACGGUACCUGAGGAGGAAGCCACGGCUAACUACGUGCCAGCCGCCGCUGUAA